Molecule: long non-coding RNA, 249 nt
Filed under: Panax ginseng (ginseng)
Lineage: Eukaryota; Viridiplantae; Streptophyta; Magnoliopsida; Apiales; Araliaceae
Description: long non-coding RNA (PGIN_LNC004528)
Source: RNAcentral
UAGAAUAUAGUGAGGACUACUAUAGCCAUCAUCUCGGACCAUCACUUCAUUUCCCGACUAGUCCCAGCUAUAUAUUCUAAUUUCCUGAAGAGAACAGUGAAAGAAAAGGGUGAGCUCAACUAGCCUAGUAAGAAAUAUUAUGACUAAGAUAAUGCAGAAUAAGUUAUCGUUAGCCUUCAACAAUGUUAAACUGAUAGAAUAUAAUAGACAACAAGUUUAACUGUAGCGGAACAAGCAAUCCAUUAGAAG